CGGCCACGGGGCGCAGCGGUGGGGAAUUUUGGACAAUGGGAGAGCCUGAUCAGCCAUCCCGCGUGUGCAUUGAAGGCCUUCAGGUUGUAAAGCACUUUUGGCAGGAAAAACGGCGCAGGAUAUUACGUGCAACUGACAGUACCUGCAGAAUAAGCACCGGCCACUUCCACGUGCCAGCGGCGCAGUAUACGUAGGGUGCAGAAAGCGUUAAUCGGAAUUACUGGGCGUAAAGCGUGCGCAGGCGGUUCGGAAAAGAAAGAUGUGAAAUCCCCAGAGCUUAACUUUGGAACUGCAUUUUUAACUACCGAGCUAGAGUGUGUCAGAGGAGUGGAGUUCGCGUGUAACAGUGAAAUGCGUAGAUAUGCGGAGGAACACCGAUGGCGAAGGCAGCCUCCUGGGAUAACACUGACGCUCAUGCACAGCGUGGGAGCAAACGGGAUUGGAAAUACCCCGGUAGU
RNAcentral lists this unclassified non-coding RNA (458 nucleotides) under uncultured Bordetella sp. RNAcentral's name for it is "partial 16S-23S ribosomal RNA intergenic spacer". It matches the Rfam family "Bacterial small subunit ribosomal RNA", at positions 335 to 794 of the family's 1533-position model. The record is from RNAcentral. Lineage: Bacteria; Pseudomonadati; Pseudomonadota; Betaproteobacteria; Burkholderiales; Alcaligenaceae.